CAUUAUUUACCCAUCCAGACCCUCAUUAAUUGUAGUGGCAAGAGUGUGAAGUGAAUGUGUCACUGACUGUGUGUCCUGUCAUCUCUGGUGCAGUUUGCCCCAAAGCCAAAGGAGUGGACGUGGAUGCACAGGGUAGUGUUAACGGAAUCCCUGUGUUGGAGGUCGACGUGGAGUCUUUUGAAGAAAAGCCAUGGAGAAAGCAUGACUCACACUUAACGAGGACUCCUGGAAAGCCUACUGUGAGAACCAGAGGAGAUUACGCAAGGUCAUGAACCACACUUCAGCCACUAAACUCAUGGUCCAGGAAUGGGACCUUCCCUGCUUUAGAUCUGACUACUCCUCCCCCAGCAACCACUACAAAUCAGCCUUGUCCAGAAAGACAAACGGCACCACCAAUGUUACUGGAGGACAAACUGGUACCAUCAGCCGGGUAGAGGAACAGAGAAGUCACAAUAUAGAAGGAAAUAACAUCCAGGUGCUUUCCAAGCCAUCUGACGCUGAGCCUACUCCCACUAAGAUGCCCCCCUUCUUCCCCCCGCCUCCUUUCCCGCCUCCACCCUACAAUGUCAACUCCGCCCCUCCACUCAUUCCUCCACCACGUGUGUGGGUGCCAGUGCUGUCAGUCUGUCGGACUUCCUCCUCAUCGCCUGAUGAAUAUGAGGCAGAGGGCAGGAAGUCCCCCCUGGCCUGAGCUCACAGCUGAGCGCAGGCUGCCAUCGCUUCAUCUUCAAAGAUUCCAAAAUAGCACCCCUCACACACUCCCAGCACCCCCUAAGUUCAAUGAGCCCGGUACCGACAUGUUGUUCAACCUGUGCCAAAUAUCCUAAUACAACCAAAAUAUCAAACAUCCUGUUGACCCGGCAAACCUGGCUUUCCUUCUUUAAGUUACAGGCUCUGCCUCCUUUUGUGAUGCAAAUGUUCAACGUGAUAAAAAUAGCUCCUGGAAGAAAAGAAAAGUGUAGAGCCAGCAGAUUGGAGGGAGAGAGAGAGAGCUUUGUUACUCUUGGUACCAUAGGGUCACAUUAGUGGUGUAGUAUUAUUGCUUGAUAGGGCCAGGUUUUAGCGUGGGGUUGUGUUGUCAUUGCAGGCCAGUCUGUGUAGUGAAGCACUAAGGGAUGUUGUCUGGAGCUCUAGUGUAGAACUGGUGGUACUGAUCAGUGUAGUUUGGCACAUACAUUGUGGUUAGUUUGACACCUGUACUGACUGAUAUGGCUGUGACGGUCUUGGAAUUUGAGGUUGCGGUAAUUGGCCAGGCCAAUGUACAGACACCAACAUAAUCGUUCAAGGAUAUGCAUAUGCUUCCUAAUAAAACCUAUUUGAAACAAGCCAUUACACUUCGUUAUCAUCAUGGCGUUUCAUUACUAUUAUUCAGGUUAUUACUUUUAAAUAUGAAUCAACAAAUUAAGAAAUGCCAGGUUGGGGAGGAUCUGUGGGAUUUUUGUAUCGACACAUCAUCAGCUGAGUCAAAAUAAAGAUAUUCCUACCUUGUCUGUUGGCUUUUCUGCAUAUAUACACAAUCAAUCAGUCAAAUCAAAUGUAUUUAUAAAGCCCUUUUUACAUCAGCCGAUGUCACAAAGUGCUAUACGAAUUUCUUUCUUUAUUUUACCUUUAUUUAACUAGGCAAGUCAGUCAAGAACAAAUUCUUAUUUUCAGUGACGGCCUAGGAACAGUGGGUUAACUGCCUGUUCAGGGGCAGAACGACAGAUGUCAGCUCGGGGGUUUGAACUUGCAACCUUCCGGUUACUAGUCCAACUCUCUA
Long non-coding RNA from Oncorhynchus kisutch (coho salmon), 1759 nucleotides. The record is from Ensembl. Lineage: Eukaryota; Metazoa; Chordata; Actinopteri; Salmoniformes; Salmonidae.